UGGGCCGUUACACAAGAGGGGGGACCACACACACAUACACAAACACAAACACAUACACCAACACUCAAACAUGCACGGACACUCAUAUACACAUUAUACACUCACACUGAUAUACAUUGUACAUUUACUCAGUUAACAUAUAAUUCACACAAACACAAGAGCAGUGCUUUUAACUACGACGAUGACAUCGACACAAGAAGUUUGCCCACCUUCAAGAAGACUUAACGCCAGCUUUAGAAACACUCAUAGCCAGUUUCCACCUUCGACAUGACAUAGUACUAUUCUGAAGCGCCUGGGCUUGAGUACACACAAAGGCGGGAAGUGUCUGGAGUUCCACUUGAAUGAAGGAGCUGAGGAGUUAGGGUUUCACGUCCCUCCAUAUCACCACUAAUAACACCUGACGGUCCUUGCUGCACAUCUGAAUACCACCCGCUCCGACGUGAAGCAUAGCCCCCACGCCCCUUUUUUCUGUUUGUAGAGCCCAUCGCGAACAGUGACCCUGGCACACCGCGAAAUAUUGGUCCACUCCAGAUAAACAUACAGUUCAAGAUCUGUUGAGAAAUAGCGACCACAGCCUAUUGUAGAUCCUGACGCUGGUAAAGAUCCACAGCGUAUAUCAGCCCAGACGUGGAGUGAAUAUCGGACCACAUCCGUUAUGAACAUCUGUACGGUCCCAUCGUGAAGACAAACCUAAGCUCGCCACGAAUCUUUUUCCCAACCGUAUUCUCCAAUGAUCCAGACUCGUUUCGUCGUCUCCAGCAACCUAGCAACUCGCCAUCACUGGUCCAACACUAAAGCUCCAAACUCUAGUCACAUUAAAAGGCAGAAAUACCAUCGAGAUUGUAGAAACUCCCGAUGUGUCACCACUAUCUUGAUAACUGACCGUAUCAAGAUGAGGAACAGACGACCCUUACGAAGACUUACAGUUUUUAUCAACUUACUUAACAGUCUAAAGACUUGCCCGGGAACCGAAAUGUAAAAAAGAACAGCAUAACCUGGCAAUCUGGCGUUGACAUCAUUCCUAUCAGGAAAAUGUGUUAUCAGGAAUAUGUGUUAAAUAUGAAUUCAGCUAUCUACCCGUUUUCGGCAUCAUGUCAGGAGGAGGUAGCAGGCGCACUCCAGCUCCCGACAACGUUUGACAAUCGCUGUUAUCGUCAGGAGGAAGUGGAAAAUUCACUGCGGCUCUUGACAACGCAUUGGCAAUUACGGAUAAGUCAGGAGGAAGUGAAAACCUUGCAGAACUUCUGAUUUCACGCUGAUAAUCACCGUUCGUUUUUAAAUAACUGACACAAUCUUUACAUCACCUAAAACCAUGUUGGGAAUUCCUAAUAUGCCAAGAGCAAGAACAGAAUGGUGCCCCUGAAGGCGUGCCAUGGGCGCCAGAUGGUCCGCGCAGAAGAGUUGCCAGGCACUUGUGACAGUGAAUAACCAGCAUGUGUUUGUGUGUGAUUGCGGUUUUUGACAACAUCAACAUUGGUUACAAAACUCUGAUGGAAAAUAUAUCUACACCAAAAUUAAAUCUGAAACGUGACAGUCUUUGGGUCAUGACUGUUAGCAGUGACAGAAAAUGUUCAAUUCUAUUACGAAAAGUACAAUGUUCACGUAUCAAUUCUGAGCAACUUUGUGUUAUCAAGGAAGUUACAGCAUUAUUAUCCUCAUCAAGAGUAUUUUCCCCAUGGCCAUCAUCGUCACAUUAUUAUGAAAAUCUUACAUGUGUGCUGCAAAGUCGGAACAUAAAACGCGAAAUCUUUUUAUAUCCGCCAGGCAUUCUUUGCGCUCCUCGUCGCAUGAAAGUCGUGCCAUUUGAGUUCUUGGAGCGAGGUGCUAGUUAUUUGGCUCGGUGUGUGGGUCGCCAAGGCUGCUGUCGCGUUUCCCAUGGCUCCUCGGAUUAUCCAUGGUGAUGUACGAUCCGAGUAACAGCGGGGCUGGCUAAGUUUCGGUACAAGAAAAAACUAGAUAGUAACUUCCGGUUGUUGGUGACGACUGAGCGUUGUAUUUACAAUACAGCUAAAGGAUUAUCAGUCGUUUGUAUUGGGAGUGUUUUAGUUUGAGCAUCACUGAUUGCCUUUCGUCUGUAUUGUACUAUUAUUUACCGACUGGACAAUCGUGGAGUAGAGAAUUUUUAGAUUACAGAUCAAAAUCGUUCUCUUAAUAAGGCCAUCAAAUUCGUACAUAUAAACAGUUCUCCUCCAUCCUUCGAAGUAAGACGCUGGGCCUUGAGAAAAGCAUGAUAAAACUGACUUAUUUUCACUUGACUAAGACUCGGAGUGUUACCGUGAGUGUCUGUGUGUAACCAUUACGACGCAUCGAGGAGGGCGUUUGUUUUCCUUCCCUCGCGGCGUCGGUUAUCACACGUGAACAAUUUGUGGUGUGCAGUGUUGCGAUGGCUUUGAGUUUCCCAGCAUGCAAUUCACAAAGGCGUGUGUAUUUCUAAUUUGCAACAGUGCACUUCAUACCGGCCAAUGAGUCCUCUGAAGGGUUGGAAAUAUAACAUGCUGCCACCUGACCAAUCAGAGAACUCCCUGGCCUCUUGGGACAGGCGCUUCCUUGCUAUUGGUUCCAUCAGUGCCACCUGAACCAACAGUAGAAGCUUUUGUUCUUGUUCCGUGUGAGAUGUGUGAUCCGGAAUGUUUAGCUCAUUAUGGCAUGACUGAUGUUUACUGGAUUGACUUAAUAAACAAAACCACCCA
This 2690-nucleotide long non-coding RNA is filed under the name Penaeus chinensis. Its description in RNAcentral is "uncharacterized LOC125036606". Lineage: Eukaryota; Metazoa; Arthropoda; Malacostraca; Decapoda; Penaeidae. The record is from RNAcentral.